UACGAAGGGGGCUAGCGUUGCUCGGAAUUACUGGGCGUAAAGGGCGCGUAGGCGGAUCGUUAAGUCAGAGGUGAAAAGCCCAGGGCUCAACCCUGGAAUUGCCUUUGAUACGUGCGGGCUUGAGUUCGGAAGAGGGUCGAUGGAAUUCCCAGUGUAGAGGUGAAAUUCGUAGAUAUUGGGAAGAACACCGGUGGCGAAGGCGGCGACCUGGUCCGAUACUGACGCUGAGGCGCGAAAGCGUGGGGAGCAAACAGG
RNAcentral lists this ribosomal RNA (255 nucleotides) under uncultured bacterium. RNAcentral describes it as "partial 16S ribosomal RNA". It matches the Rfam family "Bacterial small subunit ribosomal RNA", at positions 524 to 776 of the family's 1533-position model. The record is from RNAcentral.